This 201-nucleotide ribosomal RNA is filed under the name uncultured bacterium. RNAcentral describes it as "partial 16S ribosomal RNA". It matches the Rfam family "Bacterial small subunit ribosomal RNA", at positions 328 to 539 of the family's 1533-position model. The record is from RNAcentral.
ACGCUCGACACCUACGGGAGGCGAGCAGGUAGGGGAAUAUUGCACAAUGGGGGAAACCCUGAUGCAGCGACGCCGCGUGGAGGAAGAAGGUCUUCGGAUUGUAAACUCCUGUUGUUGGGGAAAAAGAGGAUGGUACCCAACAAGGAAGUGACGGCUAACUACGUGCCAGAAGCCGCGGUAAUCUGAGCGGGCUGGCAAGGC